CAUUCUCCAAGGGUAGUUCUGUCUUUUCUGCUUGAAUUGAACUACAUGUGUGAGCUAGAUGUAUCAGUGUUGGUGUUGCUUGGUCAAGCAUCACUGUACUAGAGCCAAAGGGCUCCAAAGGAACUGAACCUCACAGGAGACAGUCUUCUAUAUUCAUUACAUAUCCGAUCACCAUUUGCAUCUAUUUGUUAUCUGAUUAUGCUAUAUAGGUAUGGAAUGAUCAGAUUUGACCUUUGAAGAAUAGAACGUCUCACAUAAUGCUUGUCCUCUUGUGCUGGAAGUGAGAUUGGAUAGGUCAUCUUAAGGAGCAGUGAAUCUCUUUCUAGGUUUGCAGAUAUAUUUUGAAGCUUGACUUUGCUGUAAAUUCUCACCUUUGUUGGUUUCUUGAGGCAUCCAAAGACUUCCUGUUUAGGUUAUGCCAGUUUCUUUCUGGUUCUACACGAAGUGAUGAAGGUAAAGGGUAUAUGGACCAUGCAAUUUCUAUUUUUGGAUGUGAAUAAUCAUUAUAGUGAAGUAAAACACAUCUAUGGUAUCUACAAACAAUCAUCUUUUCUUGCAUCCUAUCCUCUGGAGCACUAUUCAGUAUAUUUUUCUGAGUCUCCCUUGUAGAUGAUGCUCUGUGUAUUUCAUGUUAUUAGGCGAUUAUCUCAUUCAACAGGAAUGUCUCCAUCCUUUGUCUUUCAGUUUCCAUUAUCUACCUAGAAGCUCUAAAUGGAGUAUGUGUGCUACAAAAGUGGAAUUUUGUGAGUUAUAUCUACCAUGAGAAAGUAUUGGUCGCACAAUUAUAUUGUGUUAUCCACACAAUUAAUUAGGUGGGUUCAUGCACCAAAAAUUAGAACGGACAUGAUUAAGGAGUUUCUACGAAGCAGUCUGUUAUAGUUAUUUACAAGUUUUUGAUAAUAUCCUCUUUUAGUAUUUGUUGUAUUUGGUUAUUUGGAUCGGUUAUCUGUGAAACAACACUAUAGAUGUGAGUGUACUAUUUUUGAAGUUGAGGAAGGUAUUAUCUUGAAGUAGCUAGUAUGCUUUGAAUUCAUUUUGUCGUAGUUAUUCUUUUCUAAAUAUGACCUCUUAAUGGGAUAUUUCUGUUUCUCUAAGUUCCAGUUAUCCAAAUUUUCCAGAUAAUUUGACUGGGUAUAAUUUUUUAAGAUCAAGUUUUCUGCUUUCACCAGAAAACUCUGAAUGGUAUACUUCUCUUCCUCGCGAGUCCUCAGUUCAGAGAUGUUGGUUUAGAGAAACUUGUUAGUCCAGCUUUGUUUCUGUUUUCACCUCAAGUUCUUGUAUCUACUUUGAUAUUUCUAGGAUUAAAGAACAUAGUUUUUAGGUUAAAAUACACAAAUUCAGUUCUCUUCAGAAGAGGUAAUGAUAAGUUGGGUGGAUGGUAAACCGGUUGUUAUGGAGCAUAUUAAUAGAAAAAGGUGGUGGUAUGUUUUUUUUUACCAUCUUAAACAGGACAAGGUCCUGGUAUGAUCACCUGGAUUCAUGUUCAUACAUUGACUAGUUCUAGUCAUAUUGCAUGUUUUGAAAUAUCUGAGUAUUUGUUUUCGAUCAAUGUUACAAGGGCUUCAGGUUAUUUUGUGCGGGUGAGUGUUCAACUUCACUCGCGUGUUGUUGUCGCUCGGUACUAAUAUAAUGUGCUUUUUCCUAUAACGUGUAGUAAUUUAUACGUCUAUGUGCUCAUUGCAGUUUUUGGAGGAUGAGUGUUCUAUCCAUGUGGGAGUGUCGAUGAUCGAGUAAGAACUAAUUUCUCACAAAAAUAUUGUCUCAAGUAACAUGUAUGGAAUGCAGUUACUAAAUAUAGGUGGUGUAUAAGAAAUUAUUCUAUUGAGUAUAGGUUAAAAGUAUCUUUAUGUUUGGGUUUUGUGAUGAUAGGUAUCUCAUUAUUUUUCUUAUCUCAUAAGCUUAUUCGGUCACUUUUGAUUUGGGAUUGGUAUCUGUGGAUUCGUAUGUUGGAUGUGAUAAAGCGUUGAGUUAAGGGAAAACAAGGAGAUAUUUCUACUCAAAACAUGGACUCAUGGAAAUUUAUUCUAGAAGAAGCACUUGAUGAAACAUCUCUGAAUUUGGCAGAUGCGAGACAGGGAAUGUCUAAGAUUCUAUGUGUGUAGUGUUGGGAUUGGUGCAAAAACCUGAUUUCAGGAUACAUAUUGUUCUCUCUUUGUGAAGAUACUUUGUAGCCCCAUAAAUGCAGAAUCUCCUUAAUGGAUAUUACAUUUAUAUUUUUAGUUGGUGAAGGUGCUAUGAAAUUGUUGAGCUUACAAAUGCAACUUCUUGAUGUUAUGAGAUGUAUGUUGAGUUCAAAUAUAGAAUUUAUUUUAA
Molecule: non-coding RNA, 2313 nt
Organism: Solanum lycopersicum (tomato)
Lineage: Eukaryota; Viridiplantae; Streptophyta; Magnoliopsida; Solanales; Solanaceae
Source: RefSeq, a predicted model, not a curated record